AUGUAUUUACUUACUUUGAUUUCUCUCCUGAACCGUGUAUCUCUAUUAACACUACUUAUUUUGGAAAGUUUUCAACAGACUCCAGAAGAAGCUGCCCUCAUCCCUCACAAGCCCAUAACCCGCUUCUAUCUUCCCUUUUUGAUUCUUGACCCCGUUGGUGAAUCUAUAAGAAAGGCAGGACUCAUCAUUCAGUCCCACAGACUUGAGGAAAACGCAAGACCAAGUAAAGGGCAAGGCACAGAGGGAUUCCUUAUCUUUGACCAGCUACUGAUGAUCAUGUCUUAUACCUGGAUGAGUGCCGAAGUCAAAGCAGGACUUUUUAAAAAAGGAUUCCACAUGGGUUCCUUUGGGAACCCGUAUUUACUGUGAUGGAGAUCAAGCCUUUAUAGAUUUUUUUGUUAUUGAGAUAUAAUCAACGUAUGAAUUUGUGUAAGUUAAGGUGUGUAGCAUGUUGAUUUGAUAUAUUUAUGUAUUAAAAAUGAUUAACAACAUAGCAUCAGCUAACACUUCCAUCCCAUCAUAUAAUUACCAUUUACAUGUCUUUUAUUUCUUUAUCAUGCUUGAUUUCUGUAGCUCAGAUUACCAGCUGAAUAAGAUUAGUGAGAGUGGGCAUCCUUGCUUUAUUCCUGAUCUUAGAGGAAAAGCACUCAACCUUUCACACUGAGUAUGACAUAGGUUUGUAAUUUGUGGCCUGUAUUAUUUUAGGG
This 707-nucleotide long non-coding RNA is filed under the name Capra hircus (goat). RNAcentral's name for it is "lncRNA (ENSCHIG00010023213.1)". Lineage: Eukaryota; Metazoa; Chordata; Mammalia; Artiodactyla; Bovidae. The record is from RNAcentral.